GAUGAACGCUGGCGGCGUGCCUAAUACAUGCAAGUCGAGCGAACGGACGAGAAGCUUGCUUCUCUGAUGUUAGCGGCGCACGGGUGAGUCACACGUGGAUAACCUCCCUAUAUUACUGGGAUAACUUCGGAAAACCGUCGCUAAUACCGGAUAAUCUUUUGAACCGCAUGGUUCAAUAGUGAAAGACGGUCUUUCUGUCACUUAUAGAUGGAUCCGCGCUGCAUUAGCUAGUUGGUAAGGUCACGGCUUACCAAGGCAACCAUGCGUAACCGACCUAACGGGCGGAUCGGCGACACUGGAACGUAGACAGGGUCCAGACUCCUGCGAGAGGCAGCAGUAGGGAAUGUUCGGCAGUGGUCGAAAGUCUGACGGAGCAACGCCGCGUGAGAGAUGAAGGUCUUCGGAUCGUAAAACUCUGUUAUUAGGGAAGAACAGAUGUGGAAGUAAAUGUGCACAUCUUGACGGUACUUAAUCAGAAAGCCACGGCUAACUACGUG
Molecule: ribosomal RNA, 497 nt
Filed under: uncultured bacterium
Lineage: Bacteria
Description: partial 16S ribosomal RNA
Rfam family: Bacterial small subunit ribosomal RNA
Source: RNAcentral